AAAAUGUGCAGUGUUGGGGUGCCUCCAGGACAGGGUUGGAAACCACUAAACUAGUUGAUUGGUCUGAACAUCUGUAUUAAUUCAAAUGGACAUGGAAGUGUCUACAGAACUGUAAAUAUCAUUUACUAAGAGAAACUAGAGACGUUUGGGGACCUGCGUUUGCCAGAGACACACCGAAGGAUUACGGGGACGGGAUCAUUUUACCCCAAAAAUGUGGCAGCUACACAAAAGCAUCCCAUCCGGCUGGACCUGAGGGACCAGAGGAGGGAGGGGUUACCACGGUGAUGGCAGAAUCCAGGAAACUCGAGAUGACAUAA
Molecule: long non-coding RNA, 317 nt
Filed under: Sinocyclocheilus grahami
Lineage: Eukaryota; Metazoa; Chordata; Actinopteri; Cypriniformes; Cyprinidae
Description: lncRNA (ENSSGRG00000024528.1)
Source: RNAcentral